CCUACGGGUGGCAGCAGUGGGGAAUUUUGCGCAAUGGGCGAAAGCCUGACGCAGCGACGCCGCGUGAGGGAUGACGGUCUUCGGAUCGUAAACCUCUGUCAGCGGGGAAGAACGGUCACUGUGCUAAUCAGCAGUGAACUGACGGUACCCGCAAAGGAAGCACCGGCUAACUCCGUGCCAGCAGCCGCGGUAAUACGGAGGGUGCGAGCGUUAAUCGGAAUUACUGGGCGUAAAGGGCGUGUAGGCGGGAGGGCAAGUCAAGGGUGAAAUCCCCGGGCUCAACGUGGGAACUGCCUUUGAGACUGGAAGGCUGGAGUGUGUGAGAGGAUAGUGGAAUUCCAGGUGUAGGAGUGAAAUGCGUAGAUAUCUGGAGGAACAUCAGUGGCGAAGGCGACUAUCUGGAACGUAACUGACGCUGAGGAGCGAAAGCGUGGGUAGCAAACAGGAUUAGAUACCCCAGUAGUC
Molecule: ribosomal RNA, 465 nt
Filed under: uncultured bacterium
Lineage: Bacteria
Description: partial 16S ribosomal RNA
Rfam family: Bacterial small subunit ribosomal RNA
Source: RNAcentral